GACGAACGCUGGCGGCGUGCUUAACACAUGCAAGUCGAACGGAAAGGCCCUGCUUUUGUGGGGUGCUCGAGCGGCGAACGGGUGAGUAACACGUGAGUAACCUGCCCUUGACUUUGGGAUAACUUCAGGAAACUGGGGCUAAUACCGGAUAGGAGCUCCUGCUGCAUGGUGGGGGUUGGAAAGUUUCGGCGGUUGGGGAUGGACUCGCGGCUUAUCAGCUUGUUGGUGGGGUAGUGGCUUACCAAGGCUUUGACGGGUAGCCGGCCUGAGAGGGUGACCGGCCACAGUGGGACUGAGAUACGGCCCAGACUCCUACGGGAGGCAGCAGUGGGGAAUAUUGCACAAUGGGCGGAAGCCUGAUGCAGCAACGCCGCGUGCGGGAUGACGGCCUUCGGGUUGUAAACCGCUUUCGCCUGUGACGAAGCGUGAGUGACGGUAAUGGGUAAAGAAGCACCGGCUAACUACGUG
Molecule: ribosomal RNA, 468 nt
Filed under: uncultured bacterium
Lineage: Bacteria
Description: partial 16S ribosomal RNA
Rfam family: Bacterial small subunit ribosomal RNA
Source: RNAcentral